GUGAUGUUUAAGGGUACAUGAAGAUCGGAGAGGGUGGGGGUGAUGCCCAAUAAUGAUUGUUAUCAACAUAAGCAUCACCCCAUCCCUCUCCCAUCAUCAUUAGUCAUCGCUCUCUCUCAACAUUAUUCAUCAGUACCCUCCCUCUCACAUCACUGUUGGCCAUCACCCACUCCCUCUCCCACCAUCAUUAAAGGGUCAUUGUAAACACAUCACAACUUUGCAUCAUUUCGAAGUCGAUGGUUAAUAGAAUAUCAUGAACUUGCUCUCAGGUGUGUGAGUGGCUUAGAACUGCAGUGAUUUGUGUAAAUCGCACAGCUAUAAGCCGGAUCCUCAGAACUGUCAACAAGUAAUGGAUUCACAACUCCAGCAAUUAAAUAAAGAAGUAGUUUAUUACCUCUGCACGUGAACUGUCAAACACUCCUUCUGUGUGUCAAAACGUUGCUGAGUCUACGUGCUGGUGAAUGAAUUACUUCUUUAUUUCAUUGCUGGUGUUGCGACUCCAUUACUUGCUUCCUCCUAACCAUCACUAUUUGUGUGCAGGCGCUCCUUAUUUGUUUUUUUCCUUAGAACUGUCAG
Non-coding RNA from Pelobates cultripes (western spadefoot toad), 576 nucleotides. The record is from the annotation of a GenBank genome assembly. NCBI's taxonomy places the organism in Eukaryota, Metazoa, Chordata, Amphibia, Anura, Pelobatidae.